UCUCCUGGAAACGGGUGGUAAUGCCGGAUGCUCCGACUCCUCGCAUGGGGUGUCGGGAAAGAUUUCAUCGGUAUGGGAUGGGGUCGCGUCCUAUCAGGUAGUCGGCGGGGUAACGGCCCACCGAGCCUACGACGGGUAGCCGGCCUGAGAGGGCGACCGGCCACAUUGGGACUGAGAUACGGCCCAGACUCCUACGGGAGGCAGCAGUGGGGAAUAUUGCACAAUGGGCGCAAGCCUGAUGCAGCGACGCCGCGUGCGGGAUGACGGCCUUCGGGUUGUAAACCGCUUUUGAUCGGGAGCAAGCCUUCGGGUGAGUGUACCUUUCGAAUAAGCACCGGCUAACUACGUGCCAGCAGCCGCGGUAAUACGUAGGGUGCAAGCGUUAUCCGGAAUUAUUGGGCGUAAAGGGCUCGUAGGCGGUUCGUCGCGUCCGGUGUGAAAGUCCAUCGCUUAACGGUGGAUCUGCGCCGGGUACGGGCGGGCUGGAGUGCGGUAGGGGAGACUGGAAUUCCCGGUGUAACGGUGGAAUGUGUAGAUAUCGGGAAGAACACCAC
This 554-nucleotide ribosomal RNA is filed under the name Bifidobacterium pseudocatenulatum. Its description in RNAcentral is "bacterial SSU rRNA". It matches the Rfam family "Bacterial small subunit ribosomal RNA", at positions 146 to 712 of the family's 1533-position model. Lineage: Bacteria; Bacillati; Actinomycetota; Actinomycetes; Bifidobacteriales; Bifidobacteriaceae. The record is from RNAcentral.